AUUAAAUAAAAAGUACAAACGUAAUUUUGGUGAAACUAAUUACCUACUUGAGUGUUUCUAAUUAUUUUUGUAAAUUAAAUGUUUGAGGUGUUAUAUUAUGUGUAAAAGUAAUAUUAAUAUUAAAUUAUCAAACGAAUUAUGUAUUUAAUUUUUUUAGAUUUAGUUAAUAAUUACUGCACCUACUACAACUGAAGCAAUAAUAGUAGGCAAGGUUAGUGUUACGGCAAAUGAGGGGUCACGAUCCCCGAAAAAUAUCCUCUCACCUACCCGUACUACUGGAACUAUGAGAACAUGAAAACGAGGCAUGUAAUAAUAGACGCCGUUUUGCGAACGAGUGCACCUGCAAUAACGACAGAACGAAAACGCAAUUAUCGCACAAUAACUAUGGAGCUUGAACAUAAACCUGCGGCGAGAACUGAAAAGUUGAUAUAGCGACUACCGACAAAGGAGGAUCUUCUGCUACGAGUGCAAUCAACGAAUAUUUCGUUCGUUCAGGUGCCUAUCCUAUUGUGUCCGGUGCAUUUGGUUGAUGAUUAUUUAUAAUGUGCACUGUUGUACGGCGUACGAUGACGAUUGUUAUAAUAUUAUAUUCUCGGACACAUUCACCAAUCUCCACGCAAUUUAUUUAACUCGAUUUUUUUAUACACGAUUUUUUUUUUCACAACGUCGAUAAUAGAAUGUCUCCUGAAAUCAUUCUCCACCCAUCGUGUCUUAAUAAUACAUCAAUGAUCUUAAAGUAGAUACCUAUGUUGUAAAUUUAAAUGUGUGUUUCAGUGUUUGAAUACAUCACGAAUCGCAUAAUAAUAAUAUUCCAACUUUAUAAUAAUAAUAAUUAUUAUUGUAAUUUUAAUCUUCUACAUGCGUAUCAUGAUAAAUUAAUAGAUUAUAAUUUAUUAUAUAAAGGUGAACGAAUAACACUUAUAUGUGUAUUGUAUUUGAACCAAAUUUCUACACAUAUUAUUAGAGAUUCGGGGAGUGUUUUUAAAUUUAUUUUUCAACCCCAGCAUUGGUAGCUUACACAUAAAAUACGUUUUGGUUCACGAGAAUUUAAUUUUUUUACUUAUACAUUGAGUGGGGGUCAUUGGUUACAGAAAAUAAAAUAAUUGUCAUGUGACCAAUGGUGAUCAGAAAUAAACUAACAAAAUAAAAAAAGGAAACUUUUAUACAAUUAUAAUAAUAUAUAGAUUAUAUUAUAGAAAAGUAAAUAUAUAUUUAAAAGAUACCAAGCAAGCUUAGAGUAUAGCAUGAGUCACACUAGAAAACAUACCGAGUGUUGUAUCCAAAUUCAAUCCGACACAGGUAGAUCGCCCAUCGAAUUAGUAAAUAAGUUCACAGAGCGAGUUACGUCGAUGCCCAUUUACCGAUGAACUGAAGUUACUAUAUUAAAACCGAGAUACACCUAUAUAGUAACUACCAUUAUUUUUAGAGGAAAAUUGACACAUUUACUUAGAUAUGAAAAAAAUUUUGGGGAGGUGUUUUUGAAAAUCAGAAAUUGAAACGUAGAACAUUUUUUUUUAAAUUCUUUUGUACCCAUCAUCACGUCAAUACACAAUAGUUAAAAUUUUAUUUUAUUUAUAAAUCUUGUUUAAAUAUUUUUAUUUUUAUUCAAAUUAUAUUAAUUAUUUUAAUUUUUUAAAAAAAUUUUUAUACUAAAUAGGCAAAGGUAUGUUAAGUAACGAACUAUUCUGAUAACAAAAUUAUAAUUAUUAUUGUACAAAUCUACUGAAUUAUGAAUGUACGUAACACACUAAUACCACUGUAGACAUAUUAUUAUAUUAUUGUGACGAUAGAAAAGAAAAAGAGAAAUGUAGGUCGAGCCGGUCAUAUGACGCGGUAUCAAAAUAGGCAGCCGCCUAGGGUCGAAUGUUCCUUGUUUAAAAAGGCCGAAAAACUUUUCUUAAAAUUAUAUUGCACUACUGUCAUAUUAUAAUAUCUAUUUAAAAAUUCUAAUGCCUCGUGGACUAUAGAAUACACAGGAUACUAUAAGAUAUUGAAAGAUUUUUGUAAAGCCUACGAAUUAUUGUGAUUAUAUUAUGUAUAUAUUUACACGAUUUUUCUUCAUGGCUAAAAUAUUAUAUAAUUUAUAAACAAAGUUUAGGUUAAGUAUAGGAAAAGUCAAUAGAAUUUAAGAAUGUUUAGGGUAGUAACAUAAUGUUACUGAGUUAGUUCUAAAUGUUCUAAUAUUUAUCAUUUGAAAACAAGUUUCUAUGUAAGUCAUUGUAGUUGUGCACUUAUAUAUAUGUGCAAUGUUAUUAUAUUUUGUAACUACCUACUGUUUUAUUUGUUUAGCUAAUUUUUAUCGUAAUACUAUAAUACACAUUGAACUUCACCUACUUAUUUUAUUUUAUUACAAGCCGACAAGAUACAUUUUAUAAUAUAUGACACAUAUUUAGAAAUACAACCAUUGCUUCUGUUAGUAGGAUACAUGUCUUAGCAUUUAAUAUACCUAUGCAUAUUAUCAUUAUAAUAUUAAUAAGAAUUUUAAUAUUUUUCCUGCCAAACUUUGACUAUAGCAGAAUUUAAAAUACUCUACUCUACUCAAAAUCAUAAAUAUAUUGAUUUUAUUCUUAUGACAAAUCAAAACCAAUACAUAUUAUAUUGUGAACGUGCUAUUCUAAUAUCAUAAUACUCGUGAACUUGAUUCAAUUAAAUAAUGGAGGUAAAUAUUAUAAUAUAUCGCAUAUGCCUCCUUACAUGUACUCGUUAAAUAAACCCUCAAGGUAUAUAGUUAACAUAAAGUCGGCUAACCUACCAGACUUUUGUAUAAAAUUAUUACGCAGUAGGCACAAUGCACGUAUAUUUACUAAGCUCAUAGAAAUUGU
Molecule: long non-coding RNA, 2822 nt
Organism: Aphis gossypii (cotton aphid)
Lineage: Eukaryota; Metazoa; Arthropoda; Insecta; Hemiptera; Aphididae
Exons: 5
Source: RefSeq, a predicted model, not a curated record